RNAcentral lists this ribosomal RNA (1915 nucleotides) under freshwater sediment metagenome. RNAcentral's name for it is "bacterial LSU rRNA". It matches the Rfam family "Bacterial large subunit ribosomal RNA", at positions 922 to 2925 of the family's 2925-position model. The record is from RNAcentral.
GGGGNUCGCGAGAUCUACCAAUUCUAACCAAACUCCGAAUACCAUCGAGUUAGUCCGGGAGACAGACGGCGGGUGCUAAGGUCCGUCGUCAAAAGGGAAACAGCCCUAACCUACAGCUAAGGUCCCCAAAUCAUAUCUAAGUGGUGAAGCAUGUGGGAUUUCCAAAACAACCAGGAGGUUGGCUUAGAAGCAGCCAUCCUUUAAAGAAAGCGUAACAGCUCACUGGUCUAAAUAAGAGAUCCUGCGGCGAAAAUGUAACGGGGCUAAAGAUAUGUACCGAAGCUUAGGGUGUGCAAUUUAUUGCAUGCGGUAGCGGAGCGUUCCGUAGGCCGAUGAAGCGAUCUGGUAAUGGGUCGUGGAGGUAUCGGAAGUGCGAAUGCAGACAUGAGUAGCGAUAGGAGGGUGAGACACCCUCCCGCCGAAAGACCAAGGGUUCCUGCUUAAAGCUAAUCUGAGCAGGGUAAGCCGGCCCCUAAGACGAGCCCGAAGGGGGUAGUCGAUGGGAACCACGUUAAUAUUCGUGGGCCUGGUGGUGUGUGACGGAUCUCGUGAGUUGUCAGUUCUUAUUGGAUUGAACUGGCUUCGAAGAGGUUCCAGGAAAUAGCCCCACCGUAUAGACCGUACCCGAAACCGACACAGGUGGUCAGGUAGAGUAUUCUAAGGCGCUUGAGAGAAGUCUGGAGAAGGAACUCGGCAAAUUGACUCCGUAACUUCGGAAGAAGGUGUGCCUUUAGUAGGUGAUCCAUUUACUUGGUGAGCCCAAUGAGGCCGCAGAGAAUCCGGUGGCUGCGACUGUUUAUUAAAAACACAGCACUCUGCAAAGACGAAAGUCGACGUAUAGGGUGUGACGCCUGCCCGGUGCUGGAAGAUUAAAUGAUGGGGUGCAAGCUCUUGACUGAAGUCCCAGUAAACGGCGGCCGUAACUAUAACGGUCCUAAGGUAGCGAAAUUCCUUGUCGGGUAAGUUCCGACCUGCACGAAUGGCGUAACGAUGGCCACACUGUCUCCUCCAGAGACUCAGCGAAGUUGAAAUGUUUGUGAUGAUGCAAUCUCCCCGCGGAAAGACGGAAAGACCCCAUGAACCUUUACUGUAGCUUUGUAUUGGACUUUGAACAGAUCUGUGUAGGAUAGGUGGGAGGCUUUGAAGUAGGGUCGCUAGAUCUUAUGGAGCCAACGUUGAAAUACCACCCUGGUGUGUUUGAGGUUCUAACCUAGGUCCAUUAUCUGGAUCGGGGACAGUGCAUGGUAGGCAGUUUGACUGGGGCGGUCUCCUCCCAAAGCGUAACGGAGGAGCUCGAAGGUACGCUAGUUACGGUCGGAAAUCGUGACGAUGAGUGCAAUGGCAUAAGCGUGCUUGACUGCGAGACGGACAAGUCGAGCAGGUACGAAAGUAGGUCAUAGUGAUCCGGUGGUUCUGUAUGGAAGGGCCAUCGCUCAACGGAUAAAAGGUACUCCGGGGAUAACAGGCUGAUACCGCCCAAGAGUUCAUAUCGACGGCGGUGUUUGGCACCUCGAUGUCGGCUCAUCACAUCCUGGGGCUGAAGCAGGUCCCAAGGGUAUGGCUGUUCGCCAUUUAAAGUGGUACGCGAGCUGGGUUCAGAACGUCGUGAGACAGUUCGGUCCCUAUCUGCCGUGGGCGUUUGAGAUUUGAGGGAAGCUGCUCCUAGUACGAGAGGACCGGAGUGGACGAACCUCUGGUGUUCCGGUUGUCACGCCAGUGGCAUUGCCGGGUAGCUAUGUUCGGACAGGAUAACCGCUGAAAGCAUCUAAGCGGGAAGCCCCUCCCAAGAUGAGAUCUCACUGGGACUAUAAGUCCCCUGAAGGGCCGUCGGAGACUACGACGUUGAUAGGCACGGUGUGGAAGUCCAGUAAUGGGCGUAGCUAACGUGUACUAAUUGCCCGUGAGGCUUGACCAU